This 534-nucleotide long non-coding RNA is filed under the name Homo sapiens (human). RNAcentral's name for it is "HSALNT0394031". The record is from RNAcentral. Lineage: Eukaryota; Metazoa; Chordata; Mammalia; Primates; Hominidae.
ACAGAAGAUUGAAUCAGCUGAUGAAGGGUCUGAAACAUUUCUACUCUUAAUGACUAGGGUGUUCCUAGGGACAUCAAUUGGCUUCUGGAUUUAAAUAGAUAGUCUUGUGCUGUUGCCCAGGCUGGAGUGCAGUGGCCCGAUCUUGGCUCACUGCAACCUCUCGCCUCCCAGGUUCACGCCAUUCUCCUGCCUCAGCCUCCUGAGUAGCUGGGACUACAGGCGCCCACCACCAUGCCGGGCUAAUUUUUUGUAUUUUUAGUAGAGAUGGGGUUUCACUGUGUUAGCCAGGCUGGUCUCGAUCUCCUGACCUCGUGAUCUGCCUGCCUCGGCCUCCCAAAGUGCUGGGAUUACAGGCGUGAGCCACCGUGCCCGGCUGGAAACAUUUUUAAAUGAUAAAAGAAAUGUAAUGAAGGAACUCAGCAAGACUUAGCCACCUAUAAAAAUUACUGUUAUAUAAUGAGAAAAUAGAUAUAAAAAUAGUAGUAAAAAGAUAAAAAUUCAUCAUAAAUAUUAUCUUUUACCUUUUCUUUUAUG